GCGUUCGUAGUCCAACAAUUAGGAUAAUUGCCUUCCAAACAAUAGACCAGGGUUCGAGUCCUGACAAACGCA
Molecule: transfer RNA, 72 nt
Organism: Ipomoea nil (Japanese morning glory)
Lineage: Eukaryota; Viridiplantae; Streptophyta; Magnoliopsida; Solanales; Convolvulaceae
Rfam family: tRNA
About the family: Transfer RNA (tRNA) molecules are approximately 80 nucleotides in length.
Source: Rfam